Molecule: ribosomal RNA, 393 nt
Filed under: uncultured bacterium
Lineage: Bacteria
Description: partial 16S ribosomal RNA
Rfam family: Bacterial small subunit ribosomal RNA
Source: RNAcentral
AUACGUAGGGGGCAAGCGUUAUCCGGAUUUAUUGGGUUUAAAGGGUGCGCAGGCGGGAGAUUAAGUCGGCGGGGAAAUUUUGCAGCUCAACUGUAAAAGUGCCUUCGAAACUGGUUUCCUUGAGUGUAGAUGAAGUAGGCGGAAUUUGUGGUGUAGCGGUGAAAUGCAUAGAUAUCACGAGGAACUCCGAUUGCGCAGGCAGCUUACUAAACUACUACUGACGCUCAGGCACGAAGGCGUGGGGAUCAAACAGGAUUAGAUACCCUGGUAGUCCACGCAGUAAACGAUGAUUACUAGCUGUUUGCGAUACAAUGUAAGCGGCUGAGCGAAAGCGUUAAGUAAUCCACCUGGGGAGUACGUACGCAAGUAUGAAACUCAAAUGAAUUGACGGGG